ACGGCGUAGUAAUGCAUCGGAACGUACCCUCUGGUCGGGGAUAGCUACGGGAAACUGUAGGUAAUACCCGAUGAUCUCUGCGGAGCAAAGGUGAGAUUCCGCCGGAGGAGCGGCUGAUGUGAUAUUAGCUAGUUGGUGGGGUAAUGGCCCACCAAGGCGAUGAUGUCUAGGGGGUGUGAGAGCAUGGCCCCCACGACCGGAACUGAGAUACUGUCCGGACACCUACGGGUGGCUGCAGUCGAGAAUCUUCCGCAAUGGACGAAAGUCUGACGGAGCGACGCCGCGUGCGGGAUGAAGGCCCUUGGGUUGUAAACCGCUGUCAGAGGGGAUGAAAUCUUCGGAGGUACUCCUCCGAAGUUGACAGAGCCUCAAAGGAAGCACGGGCUAAGUACGUGCCAGCAGCCGCGGUAACACGUACUGUGCGAACGUUAUUCGGAAUCACUGGGCUUAAAGGGUGCGUAGGCGGCGAAUCAAGUCAGGUGUGAAAGGCCUGAGCUCAACUGAGGCAUUGCGCUUGAAACUGAUUUGCUUGAGUAUCCCAGGGGUGUGCGGAACUGCCAGUGGAGCGGUGAAAUGUGUUGA
This 582-nucleotide ribosomal RNA is filed under the name uncultured bacterium. Its description in RNAcentral is "bacterial SSU rRNA". It matches the Rfam family "Bacterial small subunit ribosomal RNA", at positions 102 to 694 of the family's 1533-position model. The record is from RNAcentral.